This 465-nucleotide ribosomal RNA is filed under the name uncultured bacterium. RNAcentral describes it as "partial 16S ribosomal RNA". It matches the Rfam family "Bacterial small subunit ribosomal RNA", at positions 28 to 507 of the family's 1533-position model. The record is from RNAcentral.
GACGAACGCUGGCGGCGUGCUUAACACAUGCAAGUCGAACGGAAAGGCCCCUUUGGGGGUACUCGAGUGGCGAACGGGUGAGUAACACGUGAGUAACCUGCCCUUGACUUCGGGAUAACUUCAGGAAACUGGGGCUAAUACCGGAUAGGAAUCCUUGCUGCAUGGUGGGGGUUGGAAAGCUUCGGCGGUUUUGGAUGGACUCGCGGCUUAUCAGCUUGUUGGUGGGGUAGUGGCUUACCAAGGCUUUGACGGGUAGCCGGCCUGAGAGGGCGACCAGCCACAUUGGGACUGAGAUACGGCCCAGACUCCUACGGGAGGCAGCAGUGGGGAAUAUUGCACAAUGGGCGGAAGCCUGAUGCAGCAACGCCGCGUGCGGGAUGACGGCCUUCGGGUUGUAAACCGCUUUCAGCAGGGGCGAAGCUUGUGGUGACGGUACCUGCAGAAGAAGCACCGGCUAACUACGUG